RNAcentral lists this ribosomal RNA (115 nucleotides) under uncultured bacterium. RNAcentral describes it as "partial 16S ribosomal RNA". It matches the Rfam family "Bacterial small subunit ribosomal RNA", at positions 1369 to 1482 of the family's 1533-position model. The record is from RNAcentral.
CGUUCCCGGGCCUUGUACACACCGCCCGUCAAGUCAUGAAAGUCGGUAACGCCCGAAGCCGGUGGCCUAACCCUUGUGGAGGGAGCCGUCGAAGGUGGGAUCGGUGAUUAGGACU